Molecule: long non-coding RNA, 448 nt
Filed under: Homo sapiens (human)
Lineage: Eukaryota; Metazoa; Chordata; Mammalia; Primates; Hominidae
Description: non-protein coding lnc-STIL-8:1
Source: RNAcentral
ACAACAUAAAGGGAAAGAGGAGAGGCACCUGAUACAUAUUCUCUAGGCCUUUUAGGAAACAUGGAGUUGUUCCUUUGAAUACACGUGAAUCUGUAAGAAAGGCAAUAUUGUAGACAUCAAGGAAAUGGGCACUGUUCAAAAAGCAAUACCUCACAAAUGUUAACCAUGGCAAACUGGAAGAGUCUACAGUGUCACUCAGCAUUAGUUAGUUAACUUAUUGGGCAAGAUUCUUGCCAAGAGAAUUAAUGUGCAUAUUGAGCACUCUAAGAGCCAAAAUAGCUUCCUGAAAUGUGUGAAGGAAAAUGAUCAGGAAAAGAAGGAACCAAAGAGAAAGGUACCUGGGUUUAGCAGAAGCACCAGCCUGCUCCACCCAGGGAAGCACACUUUGUGAGAACCAAUGAAAAGGAACCGGAGCUGCUGGAACCUCUUCCCUAUGAAUGUAUGGCAU